AUUGAACGCUGGCGGCAUGCCUUACACAUGCAAGUCGAACGGCAGCACGGGAGCUUGCUCCUGGUGGCGAGUGGCGAACGGGUGAGUAAUACAUCGGAACGUACCCAGGAGUGGGGGAUAACGUAGCGAAAGUUACGCUAAUACCGCAUAUUCUGUGAGCAGGAAAGCGGGGGAUCGCAAGACCUCGCGCUCUUGGAGCGGCCGAUGUCGGAUUAGCUAGUUGGUGAGGUAAAAGCUCACCAAGGCGACGAUCCGGAGCAGGUCUGAGAGGAUGAUCUGCCACACUGGGACUGAGACACGGCACAGACUCCUACGGGAGGCAGCAGUGGGGAAUUUUGGACAAUGGGGGCAACCCUGAUCCAGCCAUGCCGCGUGAGUGAAGAAGGCCUUCGGGUUGUAAAGCUCUUUCGGCGGGGAAGAAAUGGCAACGGCUAAUAUCCGUUGUUGAUGACGGUACCCGCAUAAGAAGCACCGGCUAACUACGUGCCAGCAGCCGCAGUAA
This 502-nucleotide ribosomal RNA is filed under the name uncultured bacterium. RNAcentral's name for it is "partial 16S ribosomal RNA". It matches the Rfam family "Bacterial small subunit ribosomal RNA", at positions 30 to 523 of the family's 1533-position model. The record is from RNAcentral.